Long non-coding RNA from Sander lucioperca (pikeperch), 510 nucleotides. RefSeq lists it as uncharacterized. The record is from RefSeq and is a predicted model, not a curated record. NCBI's taxonomy places the organism in Eukaryota, Metazoa, Chordata, Actinopteri, Perciformes, Percidae. The transcript has 3 exons.
AGCUGGAGCUGGUGCACUGAGCGAGGGGGGAGAGCGACCGAGAAGCACAAGUGUAAAAUACAUAAGAGAAGUUCUCUUUAUACCAGAACAGAAAUCCAGAUUUUUUUUUGUUUUUAUUUUUGUUCAUUUGCAGCCCAGAUCUGGUCUUCAUCUUGGUUACCUAAACAGGGAAACAUCAUAUGGUAUUGUUAGUAAAGCAGUGAUCCAAAAGAACAAAAGUCACUUUCAUAAUUAGAACAACUUGAGGUGAUUAACAGGAAGUGUCUCAUGUCUACUGAGAACAUGUGUUGAAGUAUUGUGUAACAUAUCCCCUUUAAAAUGACAUCACCGUUGAAGCUGCUUUUAAAAUAGUGAGAGUGAGAAAAUAUAAUGCUCUUGUUUUGUUGUAAUGCAGUUCUAAAAAGACUGUCCUUUUCUUUUCAUUCAUACUGUAUGCUCUGUUACAAGCUGUUUAUUGCCAACGUGUUGUAUCUUUUAUUUUCCUAUUUGUCCCAUCUUUUAAACAUGCGU